This is a long non-coding RNA of Solenopsis invicta (red fire ant), 428 nucleotides long. RefSeq lists it as uncharacterized. The record is from RefSeq and is a predicted model, not a curated record. The transcript is spliced from 2 exons. Lineage: Eukaryota; Metazoa; Arthropoda; Insecta; Hymenoptera; Formicidae.
GCCUGGACAAUGCGUGGUAAAAAUCCCAGUCUCCGCCGCGUAACCGACUCCCUUGUCCACUAGUGUCUCGGCGAGGAUGAGCUUAGCUUCCUGUACACAUUUAAAGUUAUAUCAUUCUCUGAUUUGCAAGCAGAUACUUUUGAUCUUUUAAGAUUAAUUGCAUCAUUAACUUACAUUUAUCGAUCCUUGGGUGGCAGAGAAAGCGACAACUCCGGCACAAUCGGCGGCAGUACCUAAUUUUUUGGAGCCGAUCGUGGUGAUACCAGAAGUUUGUGGUGGAUCUGGUACCGCUGCAUUGGUCAACGCGACCGCUGCCAAUAUCAGCACCGCCCACACCACCCUGUUAAUACAAUUGAGCAAAUAUGCAUUAACCAGCGAUUUGAUUCUACACAAAUGCUUGAGUAAUAAAAAAUAAAUUCUCUUGCAAA